This 30-nucleotide non-coding RNA is filed under the name Arabidopsis thaliana (thale cress). Lineage: Eukaryota; Viridiplantae; Streptophyta; Magnoliopsida; Brassicales; Brassicaceae. RNAcentral also lists the same sequence under 2 other names. The record is from RNAcentral.
UCGUUCGUCUGACUUGGGUAUAGGGGCGAA